Molecule: non-coding RNA, 979 nt
Filed under: Colaptes auratus
Lineage: Eukaryota; Metazoa; Chordata; Aves; Piciformes; Picidae
Description: 12S ribosomal RNA
Rfam family: Bacterial small subunit ribosomal RNA
Source: RNAcentral
AAAAGACUUAGUCCUAACCUUACUAUUAAUUCUUGCCAGACCUAUACAUGCAAGUAUCCGCGCCCCAGUGUAAAUGCCCCUAGUCCCUUACCAAGACAAGAGGAGCAGGCAUCAGGCACACCCUUUGUAGCCCAAGACGCCUUGCCUAGCCACACCCCCACGGGUACUCAGCAGUAACUAAUAUUAAGCAAUAAGUGCAAACUUGACUUAGUCAUGGCAAACCAGGGCUGGUAAAUCUUGUGCCAGCCACCGCGGUCAUACAAGAAGCCCAAAUUAAUCGUUCACGGCGUAAAGAGUGGCCCAACACUAUCGUCCCACGCCUGAGGCCUAGAUAUGUCCAAGCCGUCACAAGCCCAAGACACCUUCAAGCCCCCCCACCAACUCCACCUCAGCUCCAACGAUCAACUACCCCCCACGAAAGCCAGGGGACAAACUGGGAUUAGAUACCCCACUAUGCCUGGCCGUAAAUUCAGAUGUCCUCCCUCAACCCAAACAUUCGCCAGGGAACUACGAGCGCAAACGCUUAAAACCCUAAGGACUUGGCGGUGUCCCAAACCCAUCUAGAGGAGCCUGUUCUAUAAUCGAUAACCCACGCUACACCCGACCCCCCCUCGCCCCAAGCAGCCUAUAUACCGCCGUCGUCAGCUCACCUCCCCUGAGAGACCAACAGUGAGCACAAUAGCCCCACUCGCUAAAAAGACAGGUCAAGGUACAGCCCAUGGGGGGGAGAGAAAUGGGCUACAUUUUCUGACUCAGAAGACCAACGAAAGAGGGCUUGAAAACAGCCCUCAGAAGGCGGAUUUAGCAGUAAAACAUGACCACCAUGCUUGUCUUAAACCGGCCCUGGGACACGUACAUACCGCCCGUCACCCUCAUCGCAAGCAUUCNUUCCCCCCAACCCCAACUAGAACCCCCCCCCCCGCCAAAGAUGAGGUAAGUCGUAACAAGGUAAGUGUACCGGAAGGUGCACUUAGCAUAC